This 955-nucleotide ribosomal RNA is filed under the name Streptococcus salivarius. RNAcentral's name for it is "bacterial SSU rRNA". It matches the Rfam family "Bacterial small subunit ribosomal RNA", at positions 57 to 994 of the family's 1533-position model. Lineage: Bacteria; Bacillati; Bacillota; Bacilli; Lactobacillales; Streptococcaceae. The record is from RNAcentral.
GCAAGUAGAACGCUGAAGAGAGGAGCUUGCUCUUCUUGGAUGAGUUGCGAACGGGUGAGUAACGCGUAGGUAACCUGCCUUGUAGCGGGGGAUAACUAUUGGAAACGAUAGCUAAUACCGCAUAACAAUGAAUGACUCAUGUCAUUUAUUUGAAAGGGGCAAUUGCUCCACUACAAGAUGGACCUGCGUUGUAUUAGCUAGUAGGUGAGGUAACGGCUCACCUAGGCGACGAUACAUAGCCGACCUGAGAGGGUGAUCGGCCACACUGGGACUGAGACACGGCCCAGACUCCUACGGGAGGCAGCAGUAGGGAAUCUUCGGCAAUGGGGGCAACCCUGACCGAGCAACGCCGCGUGAGUGAAGAAGGUUUUCGGAUCGUAAAGCUCUGUUGUAAGUCAAGAACGAGUGUGAGAGUGGAAAGUUCACACUGUGACGGUAGCUUACCAGAAAGGGACGGCUAACUACGUGCCAGCAGCCGCGGUAAUACGUAGGUCCCGAGCGUUGUCCGGAUUUAUUGGGCGUAAAGCGAGCGCAGGCGGUUUGAUAAGUCUGAAGUUAAAGGCUGUGGCUCAACCAUAGUUCGCUUUGGAAACUGUCAAACUUGAGUGCAGAAGGGGAGAGUGGAAUUCCAUGUGUAGCGGUGAAAUGCGUAGAUAUAUGGAGGAACACCGGUGGCGAAAGCGGCUCUCUGGUCUGUAACUGACGCUGAGGCUCGAAAGCGUGGGGAGCGAACAGGAUUAGAUACCCUGGUAGUCCACGCCGUAAACGAUGAGUGCUAGGUGUUGGAUCCUUUCCGGGAUUCAGUGCCGCAGCUAACGCAUUAAGCACUCCGCCUGGGGAGUACGACCGCAAGGUUGAAACUCAAAGGAAUUGACGGGGGCCCGCACAAGCGGUGGAGCAUGUGGUUUAAUUCGAAGCAACGCGAAGAACCUUACCAGGUCUUGACAUCCCGAUG